Molecule: ribosomal RNA, 216 nt
Filed under: Glomeromycotina sp.
Lineage: Eukaryota; Fungi; Glomeromycota
Description: partial small subunit ribosomal RNA
Rfam family: Eukaryotic small subunit ribosomal RNA (bases 40-216)
Source: RNAcentral
GGGUCAGUAGGUUGGUCGUGCCACCGGUACGUACUGGUCUCACUGAUUCCUCCUUCCUGAGGAACCGUAAUGCCAUUAAUUUGGUGUUGCGGGGAAACAGGACUGUUACUUUGAAAAAAUUAGAGUGUUUAAAGCAAGCUAACGCUUGAAUACAUUAGCAUGGAAUAUUUAAAUAGGACGAUCGAUCCUAUUUUGUUGGUUUCUAGGAUUGACGUA